RNAcentral lists this ribosomal RNA (253 nucleotides) under uncultured bacterium. Its description in RNAcentral is "partial 16S ribosomal RNA". It matches the Rfam family "Bacterial small subunit ribosomal RNA", at positions 524 to 776 of the family's 1533-position model. The record is from RNAcentral.
UACAGAGGGUGCAAGCGUUAAUCGGAUUUACUGGGCGUAAAGCGUGCGUAGGCGGUUCAGUAUGUCGGUCGUGAAAUCCCCGGGCUUAACCUGGGAACUGCGGCCGAAACUGCUGGGCUUGAGUGUGGUAGAGGGCGGUGGAAUUCCAGGUGUAGCGGUGAAAUGCGUAGAUAUCUGGAGGAACACCGGUGGCGAAGGCGGCAUCCUGGACCGAGAUUGACGCUGAGGCGCGAAAGCCAGGGGAGCAAACGGG